Hordeum vulgare subsp. vulgare (domesticated barley) is the source of this 124-nucleotide non-coding RNA. The record is from Rfam. Lineage: Eukaryota; Viridiplantae; Streptophyta; Magnoliopsida; Poales; Poaceae.
AAUAUACUCCCUCCGUCUGGAAAUACUUGUCUUAAAAAUGGAUGUAUGUAGAUUUAUUUUAGUUAUAGAUACAUUUUAUUUAAUUAUUUUUAGGACAAGUAUUUUCGGAGAGAGGGAGUAGAUG